AGUCCGGCUUACUUGAUUUGAAGUCUGGACCAUUAAAUUGGAUGCAUGAUAACUAAGUGGGCCAUUUUUGGUAAGCAGAACUGGCGCUGUGGGAUGAACCGAACGUUGAGUUACGGCGCCUGAUUAUAGACGCUCAUCAGAUACCACAAAAGGUGUUGGUUGCUAUAGACAGCAGGACGGUGGCCAUGGAAGUCGGAAUCCGCUAAGGAGUGUGUAACAACUCACCUGCCGAAGCAACUAGCCCUGAAAAUGGAUGGCGCUAGAGCGUUUAGCCUAUACUCAACCGUUGUGGCACACGCUGCGGUAAGCAAUUACCGUAUUUGGUGCUUUUAUGGCACAUGCGUGCUAGUCAUGCCUCAACGAGUAGGAGGGUCGCGGCGGUAUGCUUUGAAGGCUUAGCGGCGUGAGCCGGGCUGGAGCUGCCGUCGGUGCAGAUCUUGGUGGUAGUAGCAAAUACUCAAGCGAGAACCUUGAGGACUGAAGUGGAGAAGGCUUCCAUGUGAACAGCAGUUGAACAUGGGUCAGUCGAUCCUAAAGCAUCGGCGAAGGCCGUUCAGAAGCGGUGUCGGUUAUGUGGCAGUAUGCUGUUUCGGCAGUAUGCUGUCCGGCUAUAGGCGCUUGCUCGUUUAUAGUCGCCGCACCUGCUGAAAGGGAAUUGGAUUAAUAUUUCCAAACCUAACAGCGGAGAUUGGUUGCUCAUUAGGCUGCACGGGCCUUGCGCUCGUGUCAGUCGGGGCAACGCGCUGCGGUAACGCAAACGAACUCGGAUACGCUGACUGGAGUCCCGGGAAGAGUUGUCUUUUCUUCAUAAAGAGUCGACUCCAUGGAAUUGGUUCAGCCAGAGAUAUGGAGAUGGCGUCUGAAAAGCAUCGCGCUUCUUGCGAUGUCCGGUGCGCUCCAAGCGGCCCUUGAAAAUCCGAGGGAGAGAAUGAUUUUCGUGUUAGAUCGUACCCAUAUCCGCAGCAGGUCUCCAAGGUUAAAAGCCUC
Molecule: ribosomal RNA, 987 nt
Filed under: Pseudechiniscus aff. facettalis Ca1
Lineage: Eukaryota; Metazoa; Tardigrada; Heterotardigrada; Echiniscoidea; Echiniscidae
Description: partial 28S large subunit ribosomal RNA
Rfam family: Eukaryotic large subunit ribosomal RNA
Source: RNAcentral